This 497-nucleotide ribosomal RNA is filed under the name uncultured bacterium. RNAcentral describes it as "partial 16S ribosomal RNA". It matches the Rfam family "Bacterial small subunit ribosomal RNA", at positions 28 to 507 of the family's 1533-position model. The record is from RNAcentral.
GAUGAACGCUGGCGGCGUGCCUAAUACAUGCAAGUCGAGCGACCAGACGAGGAGCUUGCUCCUUUGACGUUAGCGACUGACGGGUGAGUAACACGUAGAUAACCUUCUUCUAUGACUUGGAUAACUUCGUGAAACCGCAGCUACUACCGCCUCAUAUAUUCAACCGCAUGGUUCAAUAGUUCAUGACGCCUUUCCCGUUUCUUUUAGCUGGAUUCGCGCCGCAUUAGCUAGUUGGUAAGGUAACGGCUUACCAAGGCAACGAUGCGUAGCCGACCUGAGAGGAUGAUCGGCCACACUGGAACUGAGACACGGUCCAGACUCCUACGGGAGGCAGCAGUAGGGAAUAUUGCGCAAUGGGCGAAAGCCUGACGGAGCAACACCGCGUGAGUGAAGAAGGUCUUCGGAUUGUAAAACUCUUUUAUUAGGGAAGAAAAAAAGUAUAAGUAAACAUGGACGUCUUGACGGUACCUAAACAGAAAGCAACGGCUAACUUCGUA